GACGAACGCUGGCGGCGUGCCUAAUACAUGCAAGUCGAGCGGACUUUCAAGAAGCUUGCUUUUUGAAAGUUAGCGGCGGACGGGUGAGUAACACGUGGGCAACCUGCCUGUAAGACGGGGAUAACUCCGGGGAACCGGGGCUAAUACCGGAUAAUAUCUUUCUUCGCAUGAAGGAAGGUUGAAAGGCGGCGCAAGCUGCCGCUUGCAGAUGGGCCCGCGGCGCAUUAGCUAGUUGGUGAGGUAACGGCUCACCAAGGCGACGAUGCGUAGCCGACCUGGGAGGGGGAUCGGCCACACUGGGACUGAGACACGGCCCAGACUCCUACGGGAGGCAGCAGUAGGGAAUCUUCCGCAAUGGACGAAAGUCUGACGGAGCAACGCCGCGUGAGCGAAGAAGGUCUUCGGAUCGUAAAGCUCUGUUGUCAGGGAAGAACAAGUACCGUUCGAAUAGGGCGGUACCUUGACGGUACCUGACCAGAAAGCCACGGCUAACUACGUGCCAGCAGCCGCCGUAA
Molecule: ribosomal RNA, 515 nt
Filed under: uncultured bacterium
Lineage: Bacteria
Description: partial 16S ribosomal RNA
Rfam family: Bacterial small subunit ribosomal RNA
Source: RNAcentral